GACUUUUUUUCAGAAUUCUUUAUGUUUAAUAAUUUCAACUAUGUUUACUUUCAUCCUGAUAGAUGAAUGCACUUUUAACCUUACAAAAAAAGGUUGAUUCUCAGAGGCAUCUUUGUCUGGAGAGUGAUUCCAGCAAGUUUGUGAUUGAUUUUCUCUAUAAUGGUAAUAUUAAUCGAUAAUAUUGUGAGGUACAUGAAGAAUCAAUUAAAUAAAAAAAGAAAAUAAACAUAUGGAGUUAAUCACAUUGUAAAACAGAACAUUCAUGAAUUCAUGAAGUGCCUCUGAUCAGCAAGAAGCUUGCCGAUAAAAAUUAUAACACUAAUCACAAUGACAAUUUCAACAACAGGUGAGUUAAUCAAUAAUACUGUGAAAUAUCUAAAGAAUCAAUUAAAUAUAAAAAAAUUGUGAGUUAAUCGAAUUGUAAAGCAGAGGAUUCUUGAAUUCAUGAAGUGCAUUUGAUCAACAAGAAAGCUUGCCCCAGAAAAAAAUAUAAUAAUGAUGACAACAACGUUAUGGAUUGAAGAAUGUUUUGCUUUACAAUGUGAUUAACUCAAAAUGUUGUUUUUUCUAAUAUUUAAUUGAUUCUUUAGGUUUUAAGUAGGUUUAAGAAUCAAUUCAGCAGCUGAAACCUUGCUGAUAGAGGGAACACCUCAAGAUUCUGGCUGGUACUUCAAGUGAGUUAACACCGUUGCAGCUGGAAACUUUGCUGACAGGGGAACACAUCAAGAUUCUGGCCGAGGCAACUUUGUCUGGAGUGAUUCCAGCACUCUGUAAUUGAUUUUCUCUCAUCAGCUAAGAACUGAUAUGGUUGUUUGCCAGAUCUGAAGGACAUGCUCCUUUCUUGUAAGUUAAUGGAGAGAAAGGGAUUCUAAUUCAUUUCAUCUUCAGUUGCCACUAGUUAUCCAAUAACUGUAUGAUAAAAAAAUGUUAUAAAACCUUCGUGAGGAGAUUGCAAAGGAGUUAACUCCAAUUGAGAGUGUGGGGAAGGACUACCCCAGGUAUAAGAAGGGAAUAUAUCGGUUCUGAAUAUUUGCCUGUUAAGAGAUGAACUACUUUAGGUACAUGUGCGGUAUAUUCUUGAUUUUUCUAGCUCUGGAUGUUCACCUGGCUAGUGUUUGCUUGAUCUAAAGAAAAACUUUAGCUUUAUUCUGUUCUCUCCACACAAGGCUUGUCACCAAGGUAGGAAUACAGUACUAGAUAAAUGCUUGCUUGGCCAUUCAGGUACUGGCCAAGGCCAGUAAAUGCUUGCUUGGCCAUUGAGGUACUGGCCAAGGCCAUUAAAUGCUUGCUUGCUACUGCUUUUUUGAUAGGCUUGCCCUUAUGAUAAGGGUGAGUACUUUCUUUUCAAUUUUGAAGCAAGCAAGGUGUGUAUUGUUUCUUUUGUUUUAGCAUGUGUUUUGUGGUUCCCCCAUUGUAACUGUUGUUGUUGCCUGGGGUGCGCCUCAGUGUAGUUAUGAUGUGGUGAUAUUCAUUUUAUUCUUAAUUAUAAAAAUGGUGUUAUGUUAUUCUUAAUUAUAAAAGAGGUGUUAUUUAUUUUCUACACGCAUAUAUCAGUAUAUGUGUACAUAUAUAUGUAUGUGUGUAUAUAUAUGUAGACACAUCAUAUAUAGUGAAUUUCUGAGGUUUGGAAAGAUAGAUUCUUCUGUUGUUUAUAUAAAUUGAAUAUUGGUGCAUAUCCUUGCAUGGUUAUGUAUUAUUUUAGGACUUGUGUAUUCUAUAUCAUUUUCUUAUUUGAUAGCUUGGGUGGCUCGGAUUUUUAUGCUUGUUCCUUGCAAACUAGCCAGUUUCCUUGAUGGGGCUUCCCUUCAUGUUUUCACACUCCAUUUUCUACAGAUUCACUUGACUCCAAGUAAUCAUGCUUAUAUAAAGCCCCACGAAAUAUGUAGAGGACUCUAAAAUGUGCUGAUGCUCAUUAAUGGUUAACCCCACUAGUUAAUACUCAUAAUGAUGGUAUAUCUUCAUUUUAUGGUUGACCUACUUUUUUUCUUCUCAAUUUUGAAGAAUUUUUUAUGAUUAAACAACUUU
Long non-coding RNA from Corylus avellana, 2025 nucleotides. RefSeq lists it as uncharacterized. NCBI's taxonomy places the organism in Eukaryota, Viridiplantae, Streptophyta, Magnoliopsida, Fagales, Betulaceae. The record is from RefSeq and is a predicted model, not a curated record.